RNAcentral lists this ribosomal RNA (465 nucleotides) under Vreelandella stevensii. RNAcentral describes it as "partial 16S ribosomal RNA". It matches the Rfam family "Bacterial small subunit ribosomal RNA", at positions 338 to 795 of the family's 1533-position model. The record is from RNAcentral. Lineage: Bacteria; Pseudomonadati; Pseudomonadota; Gammaproteobacteria; Oceanospirillales; Halomonadaceae.
CCUACGGGGGGCAGCAGUGGGGAAUAUUGGACAAUGGGGGGAACCCUGAUCCAGCCAUGCCGCGUGUGUGAAGAAGGCCCUCGGGUUGUAAAGCACUUUCAGUGAGGAAGAACGCCUGGUGGUUAAUACCCAUCAGGAAAGACAUCACUCACAGAAGAAGCACCGGCUAACUCCGUGCCAGCAGCCGCGGUAAUACGGAGGGUGCGAGCGUUAAUCGGAAUUACUGGGCGUAAAGCGCGCGUAGGUGGCUUGAUAAGCCGGUUGUGAAAGCCCCGGGCUCAACCUGGGAACGGCAUCCGGAACUGUCAAGCUAGAGUGCAGGAGAGGAAGGUAGAAUUCCCGGUGUAGCGGUGAAAUGCGUAGAGAUCGGGAGGAAUACCAGUGGCGAAGGCGGCCUUCUGGACUGACACUGACACUGAGGUGCGAAAGCGUGGGUAGCAAACAGGAUUAGAUACCCUUGUAAUC